RNAcentral lists this ribosomal RNA (643 nucleotides) under uncultured bacterium. RNAcentral describes it as "bacterial SSU rRNA". It matches the Rfam family "Bacterial small subunit ribosomal RNA", at positions 232 to 885 of the family's 1533-position model. The record is from RNAcentral.
CGCGGCCUAUCAGCUUGUUGGUGAGGUAAUGGCUCACCAAGGCGACGACGGGUAGCCGGCCUGAGAGGGCGACCGGCCACACUGGGACUGAGACACGGCCCAGACUCCUACGGGAGGCAGCAGUGGGGAAUAUUGCACAAUGGGCGAAAGCCUGAUGCAGCGACGCCGCGUGAGGGAUGACGGCCUUCGGGUUGUAAACCUCUUUCAGCAGGAAAGAAGCGAAAGUGACGGUACCUGCAGAAGAAGCGCCGGCUAACUACGUGCCUGCAGCCGCGGUAAUACGUAGGGCGCAAGCGUUGUCCGGAAUUAUUGGGCGUAAAGAGCUCGUAGGCGGCUUGUCACGUCGGGUGUGAAAGCCCGGGGCUUAACCCCGGGUCCGCAUUCGAUACGGGCUAGCUAGAGUGUGGUAGGGGAGAUCGGAAUUCCUGGUGUAGCGGUGAAAUGCGCAGAUAUCAGGAGGAACACCGGUGGCGAAGGCGGAUCUCUGGGCCAUUACUGACGCUGAGGAGCGAAAGCGUGGGGAGCGAACAGGAUUAGAUACCCUGGUAGUCCACGCCGUAAACGGUGGGAACUAGGUGUUGGCGACAUUCCACGUCGUCGGUGCCGCAGCUAACGCAUUAAGUUCCCCGCCUGGGGAGUACGG